UAACCUUUUAGGAGCUAGCCGUCGAAGGUGGGACAAAUGAUUGGGGUGAAGUCGUAACAAGGUAGCCGUAUCGGAAGGUGCGGCUGGAUCACCUCCUUUCUAAGGA
RNAcentral lists this ribosomal RNA (106 nucleotides) under Staphylococcus aureus. Its description in RNAcentral is "partial 16S ribosomal RNA". It matches the Rfam family "Bacterial small subunit ribosomal RNA", at positions 1436 to 1533 of the family's 1533-position model. The record is from RNAcentral. Lineage: Bacteria; Bacillati; Bacillota; Bacilli; Caryophanales; Staphylococcaceae.